Molecule: ribosomal RNA, 489 nt
Filed under: uncultured bacterium
Lineage: Bacteria
Description: partial 16S ribosomal RNA
Rfam family: Bacterial small subunit ribosomal RNA
Source: RNAcentral
GACGAACGCUGGCGGCGUGCUUAACACAUGCAAGUCGAACGGAAAGGCCCCCACCUUGGUGGGGGUGCUCGAGUGGCGAACGGGUGAGUAACACGUGGGUGAUCUGCCCUGUACUUCGGGAUAAGCUUGGGAAACUGGGUCUAAUACCGGAUAGGACCAUGGUUUAGUGUCUCAUGGUGGAAAAAUUAUUGUUUUGGUGCAGGAUGAGCUCGCGGCCUAUCAGCUUGUUGGUGGGGUAAUGGCCUACCAAGGCGUCGACGGGUAGCCGGCCUGAGAGGGUGGACGGCCACAUUGGGACGGAGAUACCGCCCAGACACCUACGGGGGGCAGCAGUGCGGAAUGUUGCACAAUGGGCGCAAGACUGAUGCAGCGACGCCGCGUGGGGGAUGACGGCCGUCGGGUAGGAAACUCCUUUCGUUAGGGACGAAGCCACACGUUUCUGGGGUGUGGUGACGGUACCUUUGUCAAGAAGCACCGGCUAACUACGUG